RNAcentral lists this ribosomal RNA (429 nucleotides) under bacterium. RNAcentral describes it as "partial 16S ribosomal RNA". It matches the Rfam family "Bacterial small subunit ribosomal RNA", at positions 355 to 776 of the family's 1533-position model. The record is from RNAcentral.
UAGGGAAUCUUCCACAAUGGACGCAAGUCUGAUGGAGCAACGCCGCGUGAGUGAAGAAGGUUUUCGGAUCGUAAAGCUCUGUUGUUGGUGAAGAAGGAUAGAGGCAGUAACUGGUCUUUAUUUGACGGUAAUCAACCAGAAAGUCACGGCUAACUACGUGCCAGCAGCCGCGGUAAUACGUAGGUGGCAAGCGUUGUCCGGAUUUAUUGGGCGUAAAGCGAGCGCAGGCGGAAUGAUAAGUCUGAUGUGAAAGCCCACGGCUCAACGGUGGAACUGCAUCGGAAACUGUCAUUCUUGAGUGCAGAAGAGGAGAGUGGAAUUCCAUGUGUAGCGGUGGAAUGCGUAGAUAUAUGGAAGAACACCAGUGGCGAAGGCGGCUCUCUGGUCUGCAACUGACGCUGAGGCUCGAAAGCAUGGGUAGCGAACAGG